Molecule: long non-coding RNA, 781 nt
Organism: Oryzias latipes (Japanese medaka)
Lineage: Eukaryota; Metazoa; Chordata; Actinopteri; Beloniformes; Adrianichthyidae
Source: RefSeq, a predicted model, not a curated record
GCUCUCAGAGGUGGAAAAAGUCUCAGUGCGCAGGACUCACCAGCCGUCAGGACACGCACUCUCCUCCAGGAACAGUUUUUGGUAUUUUCACCUGUUUCGAAGAGACUUUCUAAGAGGUGAUCCAGGAGAUCCAGAGCACGCCGAGCAUCGUUUACUCCGUCCAGCAGCACCUUUCUGUAGAUAUCCUUAAACCUUUGGAGCCAGCUGGUAACCCCACCAUGAGGGUUUGGAACCUGCUAUACCUGCUGCUGCUGCUCGCAGCUGCGCUCGCGCCGGUCUUCUCUGCCAGGCCAGACUUUUUGAACCUGAGGAGGAAAUACCACAGACACCACUGCCUCCACAGACGCUGCAUGCCCCUGCACUCCAGAGUCCCUUUUCCCUAAGACAAGUACAACAAUGGGCGUCUCCUCCGAAGGAAAACUUUGACGUGAACAGCGGCGUACGUGGAUGGAACCAAGUAUACAAGACCUAAAUGGAUGUAGAAGUGGGGACAUGGUAUCUGCACACGUCCUGUGGACAAGACACACAGGGGAGGGGCGUUCAAAGCCAACCUCAGAAAAGGAUUAUGGGUAAAUGAAUUGAAUCUGCCGUGAUGUUGCAGCAGCUGCUUGGCAGGUACAGGCCGACAGAAAUGCAGCCCAAAGACUGUAAAUCCCAUGAUCCUUCAGGAAAGUCCAAUGUACCCCAGACCCAAAGAGUUGUAAAUGUCUUCUUAUAAAGUGUUUUCUAAUGUAUGUAUGCACUUCAAAUGUUUAUUAAAUUACAUUUUAAGCUUUCCUAA